RNAcentral lists this ribosomal RNA (396 nucleotides) under uncultured bacterium. RNAcentral describes it as "bacterial SSU rRNA". It matches the Rfam family "Bacterial small subunit ribosomal RNA", at positions 29 to 406 of the family's 1533-position model. The record is from RNAcentral.
AACGAACGCUGGCGGCGUGCCUAACACAUGCAAGUCGAGGGAGAAAAGGGGCUUCGGCUCCUGAGUAAACCGGCGCACGGGUGAGUAACACGUAGGUAACGUACCCUUGAGUCUGGGAUAACCAGUCGAAAGACUGGCUAAUACCAGAUACGACUGCGGGAGCUCAGGCUUCUGCAGUGAAAGAUGGCCUCUACUUGUAAGCUAUCACUCAUGGAUCGGCCUGCGCACCAUUAGCUAGUUGGUGAGGUAAAGGCUCACCAAGGCUGAGAUGGUUAGCUGGUCUGAGAGGAUGGCCAGCCACACUGGGACUGAGACACGGCCCAGACUCCUACGGGAGGCAGCAGUGGGGAAUAUUGCGCAAUGGGCGAAAGCCUGACGCAGCGACGCCGCGUGGGU